AUUGAACGCUGGCGGAAUGCUUUACACAUGCAAGUCGAACGGUAGAGGGGGCAACCCCUCGAGAGUGGCGAACGGGUGAGUAAUAUAUCGGAACGUGCCCAGUCGUGGGGGAUAACGUAGCGAAAGUUACGCUAAUACCGCAUACGAUCUAAGGAUGAAAGCGGGGGAUCGCAAGACCUCGCGCGAUUGGCGCGGCCGAUAUCAGAUUAGGUAGUUGGUGGGGUAAAGGCUCACCAAGCCAACGAUCUGUAGCUGGUCAGAGAGGACGACCAGCCACACUGGAACUGAGACACGGUCCAGACUCCUACGGGAGGCAGCAGUGGGGAAUUUUGGACAAUGGACGCAAGUCUGAUCCAGCCAUUCCGCGUGCAGGAUGAAGGCCCUCGGGUGGUAAACUGCUUUUGUACGGAACGAAAAGGUCUCUCCUAAUACGGGGGGCUCAUGACGGUACCGUAAGAAUAAGCACCGGCUAACUACGUGCCAGCCGCCGCCGUAA
This 496-nucleotide ribosomal RNA is filed under the name uncultured bacterium. RNAcentral describes it as "partial 16S ribosomal RNA". It matches the Rfam family "Bacterial small subunit ribosomal RNA", at positions 30 to 523 of the family's 1533-position model. The record is from RNAcentral.